Molecule: small RNA, 30 nt
Filed under: Bombyx mori (domestic silkworm)
Lineage: Eukaryota; Metazoa; Arthropoda; Insecta; Lepidoptera; Bombycidae
Description: ovarian small RNA-10872
Source: RNAcentral
AAUUCCAAAUAUAUUCUAUGUGGUGGAAGG